This 497-nucleotide ribosomal RNA is filed under the name uncultured bacterium. RNAcentral's name for it is "partial 16S ribosomal RNA". It matches the Rfam family "Bacterial small subunit ribosomal RNA", at positions 28 to 507 of the family's 1533-position model. The record is from RNAcentral.
GAUGAACGCUGGCGGCGUGCCUAAUACAUGCAAGUCGAGCGAACAGAUAAGGAGCUUGCUCCUUUGACGUUAGCGGCGGACGGGUGAGUUACACGUGGAUAACCUACCUAUAAGACUGGGAUAACUUCGGGAAACCGGAGCUAAUACCGGAUAACAUAUUGAACCGCAUGGUUCAAUAGUGAAAGGCGGCUUUGCUGUCACUUAUAGAUGGAUCCGCGCCGUAUUAGCUAGUUGGUAAGGUAACGGCUUACCAAGGCAACGAUACGUAGCCGACCUGAGAGGGUGAUCGGCCACACUGGAACUGAGACACGGUCCAGACUCCUACGGGAGGCAGCAGUAGGGAAUCUUCCGCAAUGGGCGAAAGCCUGACGGAGCAACGCCGCGUGAGUGAUGAAGGUCUUAGGAUCGUAAAACUCUGUUAUCAGGGAAGAACAAAUGUGUAAGUAACUGUGCACAUCUUGACGGUACCUGAUCAGAAAGCCACGGCUAACUACGUG